GAAUGUCUAAACGACUCUCGGCAACGGAUAUCUCGGCUCUCGCAUCGAUGAAGAACGUAGCGAAAUGCGAUACUUGGUGUGAAUUGCAGAAUCCCGUGAACCAUCGAGUCUUUGAACGCAAGUUGCGCCCGAAGCCACUAGGCCGAGGGCACGCCUGCCUGGGUGUCACGCAUCGCGUCGCCCCCUCCCCGCGCCCAAACGCGCGGCGGUGGUGGAAAGUGGUCCCCCGUGCGCGGUGUCGCGCGGUCGGCCCAAAUGUGAUCCCCGGCGACGCACGUCACGACAAGUGGUGGUUGUACCCUCAACGCGCUUUGUCGUGCACCACCGUGUCGGGACGCAUGAUCAGACCCAAUGGCACGUGCGAGCACGUCGCCUUCGACCGCGACCCCAGGUCAGGCGGGAUCACCCGCUGAGUUUAAGCAUAUCAAUAAGUAGAGGAAAAGAAACUUACAAGGAUUUCCUCAGUAAUGGCGAGCGAACUGGGAAUAGCCUAACUUGAGAAUCGGACGACCACGCUAUUUGAAUUGUAUUUUGGAGAAGCGCUCUUAGCAGCGGAUCGGGGUCGAGUCCCCUGGAAUGGGGCGCCUUUAUGGGUGAGAGCCCCAUUGCUGCUGGACCCUGUCACACCACGAGGCACUGUUGGCGAGUCGGGUUGUUUGGGAAUGCAGCACCAAUCGGGCGGUAAAUUCCAUCCAAGGCUAAAUACAGGCGAGAGACCGAUAUCUAAAAAGUACCGUGAGGGAAAGAUGAAAAGGACUUUGAAAAGAGAGUCAAAGAGUGCUUGAAAUUAUUGGGAGGGAAGCAGAUGGGGGCCGGUGAUACGUCUCGGUCAGAUGUGGAAUGGCAAGAGCCGGUCCACCAAUCGACUCGGGGCGCAGACCAGCACGGAUCGAUGCAGCGCUCAAAGUUUGGGUGGUCGAUAUGCUCGUUGUAUGGCAUCGCGCCGAUCCAGGCAGACAGCGCGCACCUCAUGCGUGCCUCGGUAACUGGCCUGCGAGCUCCCCAUUCGACCUGUCUUGAAACACGUACUAAGGAGUCUGACAUGUGCGCGAGUCAAUGGGCGAUUGAACUCGUAAGGCGCAAGGAAGCAGACCGGUGUGAUCCCCCCAAGGGGUGCACCGCCGACCAACCUUCAUCUUCUGAGAAGGGUUCGAGUGAGCGUACCUGUCGGGAUCCGAAAGAUGGUGAACUAUGCCUGAGCAGGGCGAAGCUAGAGGAAACUUUGGUGGAGGCCCACAGCGAUACUGACGUGCAAAUCAUUCUUCUGACUUGGGUAUAAGGGCGAAAGACUAAUCGAACCGUGUAGUAGCUAGUUCCCUCCGAAGUUUCCCUCAGGAUAUCUGGAGCUCUAGUGCGAGUUCUAUCGGGUAAAGCUAAUGAUUAGAGGCAUCGGGAGUGCAACGCCCUCGACCUAUUCUCAAACUUUAAUAGGUAGGACGGCAUGGCUGCUCCGUUGAGCGGCGCUGGAGAAUCGUGAGUUCAAGUGGGCCAUUUUUGGUAAGCAGAACUGGAAAUGCAGGAUGAACCGGAAGCUCGGUUAAAGUGCCCAACUGCGCACUAACCUAAAUCCCACAAAGGGUGUUGGUCAAUUAAGACAGCAGGACGGUGGUCAUGGAAGUUGAAAUCCGCUAAGGAGUGUGUAACAACUCACUUGCUGAAUCAACUAGCCCCAAAAAUGGAUGGCGCUAAAGCGUGCGACCUAUACUCGGCCGUUGGGGCAAGGGCUAAGCCCCGAUGAGUACGAGGGCACAGCAGUCACUGUAAAACAAUAGGCGCGAGCCCGGGCGGAGCGACUGUCGGUGCGGAUCUUGGUGGUAGUAGCAAAUAUUCAAAUGAGAACUUUGAAGGCCAAAGAGGGGAAAGAUUCCAUGUGAACGGAACUUGUACAUGGGUUAAAAUUCCCGAACUGAGACGCUAUGAUUGACGGCAAUGUUAGGGAGUCUAGAGACAUCGUAGGGGCCUCGGGAAGAGUUAUCUUUUCUGUUUAACAGCCCGCCUACCCUGGAAAUGGCUCAGUCGAAGGUAGGGUCCAGCGGCUAGAAGUGCAUCGCACGUCGCGUGGUGUCCAGUAUGCCCCGAUGGACCUUGAAAAUCCAGAGGAUCGAGUACCGUCCGCGCCCGGUCAUACUCAUAAUCGCAUCAGGUCUCCAAGAUGAACAGCCUCUGGUCGAUGGAACAAUGUAGGUAAGGGAAGUCGGCAAAAUGGAUCCAUAACCUCGGGAAAAGGAUUGGCUUUGAGGGCUGGGCACGUGGGUCCCAGUCCUGAACCCGUCGGCUAUCGGCGAACUGCUCGAGCUGCUCGCGCGGCGAGAGCGGGUCGUCAGACAGAUUGGGAACGGCUCCCUCAGGGGCCUUCCCCGGGCAUCGAACAGUCAACUCAGAACUGGUACAGACAAGGGGAAUCCGACUAUUUAAUUUAAACAAAGCAUUACGAUGGUCCCUGUAGAUGCUCACGCAAUUUGAUUUCUACCCAGUGCUCUGAAUGUCAAAGUGAAGAAAUUCAACCAAGCGCGGGUAAACGGCAGGAGUAAUUAUGACUCUCUUAAGGUAGUCAAAUACCUCGUCAUCUAAUUAGUGACAUGCAUGAAUGGAUUAACGAGAUUCCCACUGUCCCAGUCUACUAUCCUGCGAAACCAGAUCCAAGGGAACGGGCAUGGCAGAAUCAACGGGGAAAAAGCCAGUGGCACGAAGCUACCGUGCGCUGGAUUAUAAUCGAAUGCCUCUAAGUCAGAAUCUGAGCUAGACACGAUACAUGUGCCCACCGUCCGCUCCCUGACCCAUAGUAGGGGCCUCCGAACCCCAAGGGCACAUGUUGUUGGCCAAGCCCCCACAGCGGACGAGCCACGUGGGCCGCCUCGAAGUAUAAUUCCAAUCGAACAACGGGUAGAAUCCUUUGCAGAUGACUUAAAUAUACAAUGGUGUAUUGUAAGUUGCAGAGUGGCCUUGCUGCCAUGAUCCGCUGAGAUUCAGCCCUUCAUCGCUUCGAUUCGUCCCCCUUUCCCGGUCCCCACACAUAAAACCCCGUUCCCACCGCGAGGUUCAGAGCUUUUGGAUCAGAAACAUGCAAGUCCUCAAAAAAUGUUCCAGGUCACGAGACCGCACCGACCUACCCCCACGUGUUCUGAGGGAAAAAUCGAAUGGUAUCUCGUGAGAACGCGCAAGUACAAAGUAAUGGGCAAAGUCAUGGGCAACCCCAGGCACCACCCAUGGGCAAUCCUAAGCAACGGGCGUGGGCAACCAUGGCCAUGGGCCAUGGCAUGGGCAAGCAUGGGGUUGGCACGGGCAAGCAGUGGCCCGUGCAUGGGCCACGACAU
Molecule: ribosomal RNA, 3314 nt
Filed under: Pogostemon cablin (patchouli)
Lineage: Eukaryota; Viridiplantae; Streptophyta; Magnoliopsida; Lamiales; Lamiaceae
Description: eukaryotic LSU rRNA
Rfam family: Eukaryotic large subunit ribosomal RNA (bases 383-2991)
Source: RNAcentral